ACUCCUACGGGAGGCAGCAGUGGGGAAUAUUGCACAAUGGGGGAAACCCUGAUGCAGCCAUGCCGCGUGUGUGAAGAAGGCCUUCGGGUUGUAAAGCACUUUCAGUAGGGAGGAAGGUAGUGUAGUUAACACCUGCACUAUUUGACGUUACCUACAGAAGAAGCACCGGCUAACUCCGUGCCAGCAGCCGCGGUAAGUACGGAGGGUGCGAGCGUUAAUCGGAAUUACUGGGCGUAAAGCGCAUGCAGGCGGCCUGUUAAGUCAGAUGUGAAAGCCCGGGGCUUAACCUCGGAAUUGCAUUUGAAACUGGCAGGCUAGAGUCUUGUAGAGGGGUUAGAAUUUCAGGUGUAGCGUGAAAUGCGUAGAGAUCUGAAGGAAUACCAGUGCGAAGGCGGCCCCUGGACAAAGACUGACGCUCAGAUGCGAAA
This 428-nucleotide ribosomal RNA is filed under the name uncultured bacterium. RNAcentral's name for it is "bacterial SSU rRNA". It matches the Rfam family "Bacterial small subunit ribosomal RNA", at positions 335 to 758 of the family's 1533-position model. The record is from RNAcentral.